CCACGUCAUCUCGAUUACUGUUGCUAAUCUCGUGUUAGUUCGAAACCGAUUAUAAUUCAAAAUUCAAAAUCAAGCAAACAAUAAAAGUUUUCAAAUAUUAAAACUAAAAUGUUCAAUAAAUAGUAGAUAAAUUAGAGGCUAUGAUAAAAUUGUAAACAACAUUAUUGAAAUUUGAUAAGUGACUUAAACAACCUCAAACAGUGGAUGAAAAGAUUAUUUAAUAACCUUUGUACUAAUACAAAAGAAAUAUGAAAUGAUAUUUACCCCAAACUAGUUUUUGGUGGUAGGAUAUAUUGGGCUGUGAUUUGUGGGCCAUCUCUCAUAUCUUACAAAACUCAUUUGGUGCCCAAACAAUUAGCCAAAACAGAAAAGAAAUAGAAUAAUAAAAAAAGCAGAAGAAACAAAAAGGGGAAAAGACCCCCCCCGGCGCUGGGCCUCAGCCCAGCUAGCCAUCCAACCAGGCCGGCCCACCUAAUCCCUCCAUAACCCCCCAUCGACGAAAACCCUAACCCGUGACCCGCACCCACUUCCCCCACUCCCUCGUCUCUCCCUCCCCCCCGAUCCAGAUCGGAUCGGGGCUGACCCCGUGGCCGCCGCCCGGUGCCGCCUCGUCCCUACGCCCCGUCGCCGGCCGGCGCCGCCCGUCUCCGCCGGCGCCUCCUCGUCUCCUCCCCACGCCAGACCUCCUCAACCUCCUCCCCGACGGCCUCACCAAGCCACGCUGCGCCCCGUCGCCGCUCGCCGUCUCUGGUGCCACCUCGCCGGCGCCGCCUCCCCGCCGGACUGCGUCGUCCUCGCCCCCGUCGCGCCGGACUACCCCAUCCCCGCCUCUCCUUCGCCGGUCCUCCCCGUGCCUCACCGCCCUCUUCUCGUCAACGGGGGUGAGCUCCCCGUCGGGCCCCAUCCGUCUCCCCCUCCGAACGCUGCACCACACGCCGUCCGAUCGCCACGCCCGCCGCGGACCUCUGGCCGUGAACGGCUACGCCCAACCGUGCCUCCACGCGCGCCCUGGCUGCCCUGUGCGUGCCUUGGCCACGUGCCUCGCCCGCCUGUGCGUCGGCGCUGCCGAGCCCGGACCUGUUUCGGCCGAACCCGUCGCCCCUCCCUCACCACGCCGUGCCACCCCACUCCGGCCACUGUCGCCGGCGCCGGGCCAUGCGCCGCCCCCCUUCACACGCUGGCCGCAGCGCCCUGUCGGGCGGGCUGGCGCCCGUCGCCCGGUUCCGCUCGGCGCCCGAGAACCACCACCCGCGUAACGUUAAGGCCCCUGGCUGAAUGACAAGUGGGACCCGCCCCACAAAACGAUCAAAAAAAUAAAAAUAAAAUAAUUAAUAAUUAAAAGAAUUAAAAUUAAUUAAUUAAUUAAGUUGCUUAAUUAAAUUAACUUCAGUUAACCUGCUAGUUAACUAAUUAAACUAUAAUUAGGUAAAUCAGUGUAUGACAGAGGGGGCCCACUGGUCAGUUUGACCAGUCAACAGUCAAACUUUGACUGCUGACUGGGCUGCUGACUCAGCCCCCUGUCCCCACCAGUCAGCCCCAUGUGUACACCUUUGGGUACACUUAUGUGUACCCGUAGCAUUUAGCUAGUUAAUUUUCAAUUAAUAAUAACCCCAAAAAUUGAUUAAAACUUUGAAAAUUAAUAUAAAAUAAACCGUAACUCGGAUGGAAAAACUUUGUACAUGAAAGUUGCUCAGAACGACGAGACGAAUCCGGAUACGCAGCCCGUUCGUCCGCCACACAUCCCUAGCAUAGCAAACACGCAACUUUCCCCCUCCGGUCCAUUUGUCCGAAAACGCGAAACACCGGGAAUACUUUCCCGGAUGUUUUCCCCCUUCGCCGGUAUCACUUUCUACCGCGUUAGGGCAUACCUAGCACCGCGUAUUGCCUCGUUAUGUUUUGUGAUGCUUUGGUUGCUCUGUUAUUUAUUGUGUUCCCCCUCCGUUACUUCUUUCCGGUAGACCCCGAGACUGCCGGCGACCCCCGAUCGACUACGGUGUUGACGACCCCUCAUUCUCGGCUGAGCUUCCAGGCAAGCCCCCACCCUUGAUCACCAGAUAUCGCCUAUUCUUCUCAAUACUGCUUGCAUUAGAGUAGUGUAGCAUGUUGCUGCUUUCUGUUAACCCUAUCCUGAUGCAUAGCCUGUCAUUGUUGCUACAGUUGUUACCUUUACCUACAAUCCUACAUGCUUAGUAUAGGAUGCUAGUUUUCCAUCAGUGGCCCUACAUUCUUGUCCGUCUGCCGUGCUAUACUAUCGGGCCGUGAUCACUUGGGCGGUGAUCACGGGUAUAUACUUAUAUACUCUAUACAUGACACCUGUGGUGACUAAAGUCGGGUCGGCUCGUAGGAGUACCCGCAAGUGGAUCUUUGUGGCGGAGCGAUAGGGCAGGUUGAGACCACCUAGACGAGAGGUGGGCCUGGCCCUGGACGGCGUCCGCGGUUACUUCAAAAUAACACGCUUAACGAGUUCUUGGUAUUUGAUCUGAAUCUGGCCAUUUGGUCUAUACGCACUAACCAACUACGCGGGAACAGUUAUGGGCACUCGACGUCGUGGUAUCAGCCGAAGCCUUCGUGACGUCAGCGACUGAGUGGCACACGCCGGAUUGGACUGGAACGCCACUAGGAUAGAUCUGCUUCCGGCCGCGUUCGCAACGUGCAGGUGUGCAAUGGGCGAUGGGCCCAGACCCCUGCGCCAUAGGAUUUAGACCGGCGUGCUGACCUCUCUGUUGUGCCUAGGUGGGGCUGCGACGUGUUGAUCUUCCGAGGCCGGGCAUGACCCAGAAAAGUGUGUCCGGCCAGAAAAUUGUGUCCGGCCAAAUGGGAUCGAGCGUGUUGGGUUAUGUGGUGCACCCCUGCAGGGAAGUUUAUCUAUUCGAAUAGCCGUGUCCCUCGGUAAAAGGACGACCUGGAGUUGUACCUUGACCUUAUGACAACUAGAACCGGAUGCUUAAUAAAACACACCCUUCCAAGUGCCAGAUACAACCCGGUGAUCGCUCUCUAACAGGGCGACAAGGAGGGGAUCGCCGGGUAGGAUUAUGCUAUGCGAUGCUACUUGGUGAACUUACCAUCUACUCUCUUCUACAUGCUGCAAGAUGGAGGUGGCCAGAAGCGUAGUCUUCGACAGGAUUAGCUAUCCCCCUCUUAAUCUGACAUUCUGCAGUUCAGUCCAUUGAUAUGGCCCUUUACACAUAUACCCAUGCAUAUGUAGUGUAGCUCCUUGCUUGCGAGUACUUUGGAUGAGUACUCACAGUUGCUUUUCUCCCUCUUUUCCCCUUUCUAUACCUAUUUGUCGCAACCAGAUGCUGGAGUCCAGGAGCUAGAGAUCCCGAGGAUGAUUCUACGUGGAGUUCGGCUUCGAGGAGUAGUUAGGAGGUCCCAAGCAGGAGGCCUUGCCUUUUCGAUCGUUGCUACUUUUGUGCUAGCCUUCUUAAGGCAAACUUGUUUAACUUAUGUCUGUACUCAGAUAUUGUUGCUUCCGCUGACUCGUCUAUGAUCGAGUACUUGUAUUCGAGCCCUCGAGGCCCCUGGCUUGUAUUAUGAUGCUUGUAUGACUUAUUUAUGUUGUAGAGUUGUGUUGUGAUAUCUUCCCGUGAGUCCCUGAUCUUGAUCGUACACAUUUGCGUGCAUGAUUAGUGUACGGUCAAAUUGGGGGCGUCACAAGUUGGUAUCAGAGCCAACUGCCUGUAGGAAUCCCCCUUUCCAACUCCUUGGCCGAAGUCGAGUCUAGUCAUUGCUAAACUUUUACUAACAUGGCUGUUGGCUUACGGGCCCACGUCGCCAUUGGGUGGUAUUAGGAUCUUUUACUCCUUGUCUAUACUCUAGGACUCUGAUCUCUCUUCUAUUCGGGUUAAGUGAAUUUUGCUAAAUCUAACAUUAGGAUCUCGUUAUCACUUUCACCCGGAGAGCCCCUUAUUGCUGAUGAUCGUCUGCUGCAUGUGAAGACCCUGAAGAUACUCUCCGCUCAUAACCCGAGAACUUGUGUUCAUCGCUUUUGCAAUUCCCUUUCAUCGGUAAACUCCUAUGGAUAACCACGUAUACUCGCUAUUCAUAUAAUGUUUCCCGGUUGAUCUUGUUACUACAAGAUACCCUGUAAUUCUCUCUGUUGUUACGAGAAUCCUUUGAGCUUACUGCCUUGCUGUUCUUUGUCACCUGAAUACCCCUACGGAUAAUUCUCGCACUUACCGAGUAUCCGCUCAUCCCCAGUUGAUUCAAGUAUUUCACAAAAGUGUUCAAAAUAUCAUUCGAUCUUCCGAAAAUCUUCAGGAGCCUUUUUACUCUUGAAAUUCUUGCUUACUUGCAUUAUGAUUAAUCUUAAGUCUCGUAAUCUUAUUGGCAUCUCUUGUCAUUAUCCUUUUGAGACCGUUGAUUCAAUUUGUUGUGAAUGCUCGCAAUCCUCAAUCAGAUCCUAGAAUUCAUCCUUCCGGCUCAGACGUCAUUUGAAACGUGAGCUGGUUCUCCCCCAAUCAAAUUGUCGUCGAUUGUGCCCCUAUGUCUAUUGAACUUAUCCAUCCUUGAUCAGAGCGUCUGUUUCUAAUCCUUCGCUUUGUAAAUCAUAAUUCCUUUGCAAUUGAGCUCUAAGUUACUUAGUUGUUUCUAUAAUCCAAGGUCUUUGCAUUGAUUCUUCCUCUGGUUGUGUGCCGAUACUCACGUCAGAUCCUUUAUGGACCAUCAUAACCUUGUUGGAUUUUAUCCGACGACGUCCUUCAUAUUCAAUAACUUUGUGUGUCUUUUCUCGGAUACAUAAUGCCUUUGGUAAAUUGUAUCCUAUGCUUUGUCAACAAUGCUCUCCUUUCGAGCUUGUGUUAUUUACUCCUGAAGUUUGUGGUAUAUGUUCCCAAGAUGACCCUAUGGGUUGAAGCCUUCUCUAAUCCGUGUGAACCCGAAAGUUUUCACGAGUCAUACUCUUCUGGUGCUUUGCCAGAUAAAAUUUCAGCACUACAACUUCUUCGUAAAUGAGAAGUGAAUGAAAGGUUAUGCAUUGCAGAAGUGGGAGUCGACCUUGAACAUUUGUGUUCAUGCCCACGGACACGAUGUGGAACUUAUCAUGAAAGCUUCUUGCAAGAAUAUUUAAACAUUCGAAUAAUUCUCCCGAUGUAGUAAAUUGGAUCCCUUGCAGUUAUGGUUUCAACCAUUCUAACCUUAUUCAAUACAUCUGGAAGGAAACCAUUCCAUUGCCUCGUCUAUCAUGACAAGAUUAAAGUAUCUGCUAUUGCAAGUCUACACUCCAGUUCAGUUUCUAUGCUGAUCUUCCCUUGAGUAGUACCCUCAAGUAUCUCGAGAAUACCAUGGAACUACCUAACUUCUUAUGAGUUCUUCAUCAACUAAUAUUCUUGCCGAUUCCAUUUUUUUCCAACGGGUUCUGAGUUGUUAGAACCCCUCAAGGACACCGAUAAGUGAAUCAAUUCCGCACUCCGAUUCAAUAACUCUAAGUAAUUUUUGUUGCUUACGAGUUUAAUAAUCCUUCAAGUCAUUCCUAGCCUGCUCGGCUAUGUCAUUAUCGUGCCGGUUUUAACUGUGCUACCUGGACCUUCCCAGCGCACAAAUUCGACAGUGAGCUAGUCUUGCGUCGAUCUUCCUCGUCAUAUCACUUCUCCUUGAACAGCAAACUUGAUUUCGAGUUUGUGCCCUACCCGUGGUUCCAAUAACCUUUCGCUUUCAUCAUUCCUUUGACUUGAUUUCAUCGUCGAUCAAUUUCAUCUUCUUGAAAACCUCUCGACAAAUUUGUCGUGAUCGUUGUCAACAAUUUGAUUUCUUCCAAGUUGCGUGUCAAAAUUCAGGAUGAGGAAUACCAUCCUUGCCCCUCGAUGAAUUGUGUUAUCAUCGACAACAUUCUUGCCUUCCCCCCAACACAAACUUGUUCAUAUUUUGUGUUGUAUCUUGACUUCCCUGCUAUCCAACCUAUGUUAUGUUCUAUCGUGGAGUAUUACCAUCUUUGAUGUCAAGAAUGUCGUGAGCAUUACUCCACCUCUUAAGAAUUCUUGGUACAGUGAUACUUCUCACCAUCACCAUUCUUUCUUGGUCCUCGUGUUGUUUCUAAAAGGAAUACCAACAAAUGGUAUGUGAUGUGUAAAUUCUAAACUUCUAGCAACCCUAUUGCUUUGAAGUUAUUGGUCUAUAGUUUCAUUCUACGUCUAUGGCUUAAUGAAUCAUCAUUCGAACAUUGAUUGUGCUACCUAGCCCAUAUUUCGGGUGCACAUUUCAACCAAUGUUUAACUGUGUAUGUUUUCCUCGAGCAUACAUCAUUAAGUCAUUCGAUCUAGCUAAUGUUAUCUCCUUGUUCACCUAGUGGUGGAAAUCCAUCUUUUGGAAAUCUCAAUGGAUUGUCGCUGAGUCAAUCAGUCACCUCCUCACCUCUCCUUGAUGUAAUGAUGAACCCUUGUUCGGAACUCGCUUCCAUAGUUCAUCUCCCGAGAAUCUUCGAUGUCGUUUCGACAAUUUGUUUUGCACCUUUUCUUCUCAGGCAUCCUGAGUCUGAGGUAUCCUGACACCAAUCAGAUCUGAAUCUCGGUCAGAUAUGAUGGUUGGAGCAUUUUUCCAAGAGUCAUAGCAUUGGUCUUUAUAUAACCCAGUAAGGUGAUAUCAUGCCUAGAGGCCCUAUUGUUAUAAGUUUUCCUUUUUAGCAAGGUUAGCUAUUCUUUCAUGAGGAAAUUGUAAGACUUACUCUAUAAGUUGUUCCUGAUGGAUCCUUUGUGUAUCCAUGGCCUGAUCUUACCUAAUGACCAUGUCAAUGCUAUCUCGAAGCAUGUCUGUGGUACUCCGAUCUUCAAUAAAAACAUUUGAAGCACAAUGCUAAAUUUUCGUUAUCCAUUAUUCAAACACCGUUGUUUGGGUGAAGUCAUGAACUUCCUCUUCCCUAACCUAAAUGGUUCUCUUCUAACCAUGGUCCUUGGGAAGGAUAUACCCCUGAAAUAUGUGUUUAAACACAUUUUCCUUUCCAUUGUUCUGUUUAAUCUGAUAAUCAUAUUUUCAUUUCCAUUGGCUGGUUUAACGUUUCUGGUGAUCAUUAUGAUCUAAGAAGUUAAUUCCCUGCUUGUGCAAACACCUCGGUGUACAACUCUGUCAGUAAGACCCUGUUACUAUUGUUGGUGACAUUCCGGUAACCAUCGAUGGACGAGAACCUUGCCUAUUGGUCCGCCUCGUUUCAACGAGCAGGAAAAUGGUUCUCUUCGUCCCUCGCCCUUGGUACCGACGAUGUUGCUGACAUAUAACUGACAGGCUACCCUCUGACAUGCCUUGCUAUCAUGAUCGUGCAAGAUGUCACCCCCUUCCUACUUUUAAUCCACAUGGUGGGCCCAUAACCCACAGUUCCACAGGAUCGAAACCUGACUCUCCUGUACACCCCCUGUUCCCAAGGUUGUUCCUCGCGCGUGGCCACACAUGUAAUUCACGAGCCACCUUUCGAGAGAUCAUCAAUUCUGGUAUAAGACACCAUACUUAUUCCCGUUGCUUUGAACCCCUUCCACGCCCUGUAACAGGCAUCGAACGAUUGCCUGCCCACUCGAAACUUCCCAUGAUACCUCCUUACUUUGCUCUCGAUAAUUUCUUAAGUAUCAAUUCGAGAGAUACUUUCUGCCACAUUGCCUGAGAUGUCUAACAGAUAGUCAACCUUGUAAAGUUCUUCCGAAGCUACCCCUUAUCCUUUUCGUAAGUACGAAGGAAAUUCCUGAAGGAAGGAUGACGACUUCAUCAAGAUGACCUGAAGCAGGGAAAUGAAGACAUCAAUGUAAUGGAUCGGCCUCUUCGAGAAGAGCAACCAAAAACAAGAAGAUCCGUUAGAAUUUCGUAACCAGAACUUUCCCCCUUACUCCACCUCUUAAAUCUCGGGACGAGAUUUCUUGUAGUGGAGGAGAAUUGUGACGCCCGGAUAAUCAAGCUACAUUAAACCUUUGCUAAUGGUGCCACGUCAUCUCGAUUACUGUUGCUAAUCUCGUGUUAGUUCGAAACCGAUUAUAAUUCAAAAUUCAAAAUCAAGCAAACAAUAAAAGUUUUCAAAUAUUAAAACUAAAAUGUUCAAUAAAUAGUAGAUAAAUCAGAGGCUAUGAUAAAAUUGUAAACAACAUUAUUGAAAUUUGAUAAGUGACUUAAACAACCUCAAACAGUGGAUGAAAACAUUAUUUAAUAACCUUU
RNAcentral lists this long non-coding RNA (8124 nucleotides) under Triticum aestivum (bread wheat). RNAcentral's name for it is "long non-coding RNA (TAES_LNC008534)". Lineage: Eukaryota; Viridiplantae; Streptophyta; Magnoliopsida; Poales; Poaceae. The record is from RNAcentral.